This 580-nucleotide ribosomal RNA is filed under the name Tricorythodes sp. BYU IGCEP010. RNAcentral describes it as "partial 28S ribosomal RNA". It matches the Rfam family "Eukaryotic large subunit ribosomal RNA", at positions 1315 to 1823 of the family's 3401-position model. The record is from RNAcentral. Lineage: Eukaryota; Metazoa; Arthropoda; Insecta; Ephemeroptera; Leptohyphidae.
AAAAUGGAUGGCGCUGAAGCGUCCUGCCUAUACCCGGCCGCCGGGGCAGAGGGAGGGCGAUCAUGUCGUCCUUCGCAAGGCCCCGGCGAGUAGGAGGGUCGCGGCGGAGUGCGCAGAAGGGUCUGGGCGUGAGCCUGCCUGGAGCCUCCGUCGGUGCAGAUCUUGGUGGUAGUAGCAAAUACUCCAGCGAGGCCCUGGAGGACUGAUGUGGAGAAGGGUUCCGUGUGAACAGCCGUUGCACACGGGUCAGUCGAUCCUAAGCCCUAGGAGAAAUCCGAUGUUGAUGGUCGCGGGAUGAAAGCAUUUUGUGUUAGUACACCCCGUCCGUCGGGCGAAAGGGAAUCCGUUUCCUAUUACGGAACCCGGUUGCGGAACCGCACUCACGAUCCUCGUAUUGACACGGUAACGUGAAGGACCCCAGAGACGCCGUCUGGAGCCCCGGGAAGAGUUUUCUUUUCUGCAUAAGCGUUCGGGUUCCAUGGAAUCCUCUCGCAGGGAGAUAUGGAAUGGAGCGCGAAGAGCACCGCAGUUGCUGCGGUGUCCGGGGAUUCCCGUCGGCCCUUGAAAAUCUGGGUGAGGG